Molecule: transfer RNA, 61 nt
Filed under: Proasellus arthrodilus
Lineage: Eukaryota; Metazoa; Arthropoda; Malacostraca; Isopoda; Asellidae
Description: transfert RNA-W(TGA)
Source: RNAcentral
AGGAUUUUAAGUUAACAAAACUAUUGGCCUUCAAAGUCAAAAAUAAUAUAAUUAAAUCUUA